Neodiprion fabricii is the source of this 263-nucleotide long non-coding RNA. RefSeq lists it as uncharacterized. The record is from RefSeq and is a predicted model, not a curated record. The transcript has 2 exons. Lineage: Eukaryota; Metazoa; Arthropoda; Insecta; Hymenoptera; Diprionidae.
GAUUGUAGUUAACGACCUCGGCUUUAUUCUCUCAGCAUUAUUUUCAAGGACAAGAAUGUUUCCCUGAAGGAAUGAGUUUGACUCGGCUAAUUUAAUCUUUUUUUUUUCACGUAUGCUAAUUUCCGAAGAGGGCGUCCCCCGGAAGGUCCGAAACACUAAACGAGACUUGUUCUUGAUUUGACUUCAGACACCGAAAAAAAAACACUCACUAUAUUGUGACUUUCUCUAUACGCGGAACAAUGCGUGCGCCUAACUCAAGCAAC